AAUAGCUCACUAGUCAAGCGACUCGGCGUCGAUAAUAAUCGGGCAUAAGCUCGGUGCCGAAGCUGUGGGAAUGAAAAUUCGGUAGGGGAGCAUUCCAGUUGCGCUGAAGGUGUUACCGUGAGGGAUGCUGGAGCGGCUGGAAGCGAAACUGUAGGCAUGAGUAACGAUAAUAAGGGUGAAAAACCCUUCCACCGUAAACCCAAGGGUUCCUGAUCAACGCUAAUCGGAUCAGGGUUAGUCGAGACCUAAGGUGUACCUGGUGAGGCCAGGGAAGCUGAUGGCAAAGCGGUUAAAUAUUCCGCUACCCGGGUGAACGUUAGGCUAAGGCGUGACGCAGAAGUGACACUCCCGCGCCCCGACGAAUGGGCGUUAAAGGGCGUAGGCUUGGAGGUAGGCAAAUCCGCCUCCUGUACGGCUGAACCCCGACAGUACCCGGAUUCUCGCGAUGAAGGGAUAGUGGAGGUAAUCAUGCUGCCAAGAAAAGCGUCGUAGUUUGUUCAACCGGCUCGUACCCCAAACCGACACAGGUGGGUGAGGAGAGUAUCCUAAGGUGCUCGAGUAAUUCAUGGCUAAGGAACUAGGCAAAUUGGAUCCGUAACUUCGGGAGAAGGAUCCCCCUCCUAUGGAGGGGCGCAGUGAAAAGGCCCAAGCGACUGUUUACCAAAAACACAUGUCUCUGCUAAGCCGCAAGGCGAUGUAUAGGGACUGACACCUGCCCGGUGCUGGAAGGUUAAGGAAGGGGGUUAGCUUCGGCGAAGCCCUUGACUGAAGCCCCAGUAAACGGCGGCCGUAACUAUAACGGUCCUAAGGUAGCGAAAUUCCUUGUCGGGUAAGUUCCGACCUGCACGAAUGGUGUAACGACUUGGGCACUGUCUCGGCCAUGAGCUCGGUGAAAUUGUGGUAUCGGUGAUGACGCCGAUUACCCGCAGCGGGACGAAAAGACCCCGUGAACCUUUACUACAACUUUACAUUGGCUUUAGCUGUAACAUGUGUAGGAUAGGCGGGAGACUGCGAACCAUGGUCGCCAGGCUGUGGGGAGUCACCCUUGAAAUACCGCCCUUGUUACAGGUGAAGUCUAACCCUUACGAGGGAACAGUGUAUGGUGGGUAGUUUGACUGGGGCGGUCGCCUCCUAAAGAGUAACGGAGGCUCCCAAAGGUACCCUCAGCACGGUCGGCAAUCGUGCGUAGAGUGUAAAAGCAUAAGGGUGCUUGACUGCGAGACAUACAGGUCGAGCAGGCACGAAAGUGGGGUUUAGUGAUCCGGUGGCACCGCAUGGAAGGGCCAUCGCUCAAAGGAUAAAAGGUACUCCGGGGAUAA
Molecule: ribosomal RNA, 1319 nt
Filed under: marine metagenome
Description: bacterial LSU rRNA
Rfam family: Bacterial large subunit ribosomal RNA
Source: RNAcentral